Molecule: ribosomal RNA, 301 nt
Filed under: uncultured bacterium
Lineage: Bacteria
Description: partial 16S ribosomal RNA
Rfam family: Bacterial small subunit ribosomal RNA
Source: RNAcentral
CAGCCGCCACGGGAAUACGGAGGGAGCUAGCGUUGUUCGGAAUUACUGGGCGUAAAGCGCACGUAGGCGGCGAUCUAAGUCAGAGGUGAGAGCCCGGGGCUCAACCCCGGAAUUGCCUUUGAGACUGGAUUGCUUGAAUCCGGGAGAGGUGAGUGGAAUUCCGAGUGUAGAGGUGAAAUUCGUAGAUAUUCGGAAGAACACCAGUGGCGAAGGCGGCUCACUGGACCGGCAUUGACGCUGAGGUGCGAAAGCGUGGGGAGCAAACAGGAUUAGAUACCCCUGUAGUCCCUGUCUCUUAUAC